ACGAACGCUGGCGGCAUGCCUAACACAUGCCAGUCGCACGAGACCUUCGGGUCUAGUGGCGCACGGGCGCGUAACGCGUGGGAACCUGCCUUUAGGUUCGGAAUAACUCAGAGAAAUUUGAGCUAAUACCGGAUGAUGUCUUCGGACCAAAGAUUUAUCGCCUUUAGAUGGGCCCGCGUUGGAUUAGCUAGUUGGUGGGGUAAAGGCCUACCAAGGCGACGAUCCAUAGCUGGUCUGAGAGGAUGAUCAGCCACACUGGGACUGAGACACGGCCCAGACUCCUACGGGAGGCAGCAGUGGGGAAUAUUGGACAAUGGGCGAAAGCCUGAUCCAGCAAUGCCGCGUGAGUGAUGAAGGCCUUAGGGUUGUAAAGCUCUUUUACCCGAGAUGAUAAUGACAGUAUCGGGAGAAUAAGCUCCGGCUAACUCCGUG
Molecule: ribosomal RNA, 432 nt
Filed under: uncultured bacterium
Lineage: Bacteria
Description: partial 16S ribosomal RNA
Rfam family: Bacterial small subunit ribosomal RNA
Source: RNAcentral